GGUUAAGCGACUAAGCGUACACGGUGGAUGCCCUGGCAGUCAGAGGCGAUGAAGGACGUGCUAAUCUGCGAUAAGCGUCGGUAAGGUGAUAUGAACCGUUAUAACCGGCGAUUUCCGAAUGGGGAAACCCAGUGUGUUUCGACACACUAUCAUUAACUGAAUCCAUAGGUUAAUGAGGCGAACCGGGGGAACUGAAACAUCUAAGUACCCCGAGGAAAAGAAAUCAACCGAGAUUCCCCCAGUAGCGGCGAGCGAACGGGGAGCAGCCCAGAGCCUGAAUCAGUGUGUGUGUUAGUGGAAGCGUCUGGAAAGGCGCGCGAUACAGGGUGACAGCCCCGUACACAAAAAUGCACAUGCUGUGAGCUCGAUGAGUAGGGCGGGACACGUGGUAUCCUGUCUGAAUAUGGGGGGACCAUCCUCCAAGGCUAAAUACUCCUGACUGACCGAUAGUGAACCAGUACCGUGAGGGAAAGGCGAAAAGAACCCCGGCGAGGGGAGUGAAAAAGAACCUGAAACCGUGUACGUACAAGCAGUGGGAGCACGCUUCGGCGUGUGACUGCGUACCUUUUGUAUAAUGGGUCAGCGACUUAUAUUCUGUAGCAAGGUUAACCGAAUAGGGGAGCCGAAGGGAAACCGAGUCUUAACUGGGCGUUAAGUUGCAGGGUAUAGACCCGAAACCCGGUGAUCUAGCCAUGGGCAGGUUGAAGGUUGGGUAACACUAACUGGAGGACCGAACCGACUAAUGUUGAAAAAUUAGCGGAUGACUUGUGGCUGGGGGUGAAAGGCCAAUCAAACCGGGAGAUAGCUGGUUCUCCCCGAAAGCUAUUUAGGUAGCGCCUCGUGAAUUCAUCUCCGGGGGUAGAGCACUGUUUCGGCAAGGGGGUCAUCCCGACUUACCAACCCGAUGCAAACUGCGAAUACCGGAGAAUGUUAUCACGGGAGACACACGGCGGGUGCUAACGUCCGUCGUGAAGAGGGAAACAACCCAGACCGCCAGCUAAGGUCCCAAAGUCAUGGUUAAGUGGGAAACGAUGUGGGAAGGCCCAGACAGCCAGGAUGUUGGCUUAGAAGCAGCCAUCAUUUAAAGAAAGCGUAAUAGCUCACUGGUCGAGUCGGCCUGCGCGGAAGAUGUAACGGGGCUAAACCAUGCACCGAAGCUGCGGCAGCGACGCUUAUGCGUUGUUGGGUAGGGGAGCGUUCUGUAAGCCUGUGAAGGUGUGCUGUGAGGCAUGCUGGAGGUAUCAGAAGUGCGAAUGCUGACAUAAGUAACGAUAAAGCGGGUGAAAAGCCCGCUCGCCGGAAGACCAAGGGUUCCUGUCCAACGUUAAUCGGGGCAGGGUGAGUCGACCCCUAAGGCGAGGCCGAAAGGCGUAGUCGAUGGGAAACAGGUUAAUAUUCCUGUACUUGGUGUUACUGCGAAGGGGGGACGGAGAAGGCUAUGUUGGCCGGGCGACGGUUGUCCCGGUUUAAGCGUGUAGGCUGGUUUUCCAGGCAAAUCCGGAAAAUCAAGGCUGAGGCGUGAUGACGAGGCACUACGGUGCUGAAGCAACAAAUGCCCUGCUUCCAGGAAAAGCCUCUAAGCAUCAGGUAACAUCAAAUCGUACCCCAAACCGACACAGGUGGUCAGGUAGAGAAUACCAAGGCGCUUGAGAGAACUCGGGUGAAGGAACUAGGCAAAAUGGUGCCGUAACUUCGGGAGAAGGCACGCUGAUAUGUAGGUGAAGUCCCUUGCGGAUGGAGCUGAAAUCAGUCGAAGAUACCAGCUGGCUGCAACUGUUUAUUAAAAACACAGCACUGUGCAAACACGAAAGUGGACGUAUACGGUGUGACGCCUGCCCGGUGCCGGAAGGUUAAUUGAUGGGGUCAGCGCAAGCGAAGCUCUUGAUCGAAGCCCCGGUAAACGGCGGCCGUAACUAUAACGGUCCUAAGGUAGCGAAAUUCCUUGUCGGGUAAGUUCCGACCUGCACGAAUGGCGUAAUGAUGGCCAGGCUGUCUCCACCCGAGACUCAGUGAAAUUGAACUCGCUGUGAAGAUGCAGUGUACCCGCGGCAAGACGGAAAGACCCCGUGAACCUUUACUAUAGCUUGACACUGAACAUUGAGCCUUGAUGUGUAGGAUAGGUGGGAGGCUUUGAAGUGUGGACGCCAGUCUGCAUGGAGCCGACCUUGAAAUACCACCCUUUAAUGUUUGAUGUUCUAACGUUGACCCGUAAUCCGGGUUGCGGACAGUGUCUGGUGGGUAGUUUGACUGGGGCGGUCUCCUCCUAAAGAGUAACGGAGGAGCACGAAGGUUGGCUAAUCCUGGUCGGACAUCAGGAGGUUAGUGCAAUGGCAUAAGCCAGCUUGACUGCGAGCGUGACGGCGCGAGCAGGUGCGAAAGCAGGUCAUAGUGAUCCGGUGGUUCUGAAUGGAAGGGCCAUCGCUCAACGGAUAAAAGGUACUCCGGGGAUAACAGGCUGAUACCGCCCAAGAGUUCAUAUCGACGGCGGUGUUUGGCACCUCGAUGUCGGCUCAUCACAUCCUGGGGCUGAAGUAGGUCCCAAGGGUAUGGCUGUUCGCCAUUUAAAGUGGUACGCGAGCUGGGUUUAGAACGUCGUGAGACAGUUCGGUCCCUAUCUGCCGUGGGCGCUGGAGAACUGAGGGGGGCUGCUCCUAGUACGAGAGGACCGGAGUGGACGCAUCACUGGUGUUCGGGUUGUCAUGCCAAUGGCACUGCCCGGUAGCUAAAUGCGGAAGAGAUAAGUGCUGAAAGCAUCUAAGCACGAAACUUGCCCCGAGAUGAGUUCUCCCUGACUCCUUGAGAGUCCUGAAGGAACGUUGAAGACGACGACGUUGAUAGGCCGGGUGUGUAAGCGCAGCGAUGCGUUGAGCUAACCGGUACUAAUGAACCGUGAGGCUUAACCUU
This 2904-nucleotide ribosomal RNA is filed under the name Escherichia coli. RNAcentral describes it as "23S ribosomal RNA". It matches the Rfam family "Bacterial large subunit ribosomal RNA". RNAcentral also lists the same sequence under 1 other name. Lineage: Bacteria; Pseudomonadati; Pseudomonadota; Gammaproteobacteria; Enterobacterales; Enterobacteriaceae. The record is from RNAcentral.